Molecule: small nuclear RNA, 89 nt
Organism: Monodelphis domestica (gray short-tailed opossum)
Lineage: Eukaryota; Metazoa; Chordata; Mammalia; Didelphimorphia; Didelphidae
Source: Ensembl
GUGCUUGUUUCAGCAGCACAUAUACUAAAAUUGGAACAAUUCAGGGAAGAUUAGCAUGUAUGCAAAUUCAUGAAGCACUCCAUAUUUUA